This 803-nucleotide long non-coding RNA is filed under the name Capsella rubella. Its description in RNAcentral is "long non-coding RNA (CRUB_LNC004713)". The record is from RNAcentral. Lineage: Eukaryota; Viridiplantae; Streptophyta; Magnoliopsida; Brassicales; Brassicaceae.
UGUGACAAAUUUAGUUUACGAUAAACUCGAAUAGCCCUAAGAUUUUCAUCUUAAAUCCUAAGACAACAAUUCAGUGUCAUAUAUAUUUAAGAUUUGAACUCUUUCUCGUAUUUUCAAUAAUUUCUGUCAAAAAAAAAUCUCCAAAAUAGCAUAAAAACUACAUUAAUUCCCAAAAAAAAAUGGCAUAUACUUAAACAUGGAGUCUCAUUAUUCUUAUAGACAUUAUCCAGUAAGUCAGUAAAAUAGCUUAGCUAUGAUGAUAAGGAAUAUUGUGGCUUUUAAAGAUAAUUUCAAUUAUGAAGAAGAAGAAGAAGGAAUAAAAGUUAGAGAACAGACAAAAAAAAGGACUCUCCUUUUUAGUUUUUACAAAUCUCGAUUCCAAAAAAAAAAAAAAAAAAAUGCAUAAAAAAAUGGUCGGCUUCAAACCCUACAAAGCUCCCACAGCUUCCAUGUUUCCCUCACACCACGCCUCUCUCACUCUCUUGUCUCUUUCAUUUAUACGUACGUACGUAUAGUAUAGUAUCGUAUUAGAAAUUAUAGUAUUUACGUACGGAUAAAAAUGCAUUCGUAUUUCGUAUACAUUCACAUAUCACACGUUUGAAUAUUCAUCCAUGUCUCAAGCGUCAUCAACUAACACACGAAUACGAUCAAUAUAAUUCGUUUUUUUUUUUUUGCAUCAGAGCCAUUUUAUGUUAUGAUCACGAUUAUUGUGUAUAUAUAUUAAUUAGUAGUAUAUAUCAUGAUUGUGUGUAUCGAUGUGGUGACUGGUGAGUGUAAAAUGGGAAUGUGCAUUAUAAGUUAUG